Molecule: long non-coding RNA, 609 nt
Filed under: Oryctolagus cuniculus (rabbit)
Lineage: Eukaryota; Metazoa; Chordata; Mammalia; Lagomorpha; Leporidae
Description: lncRNA (ENSOCUG00000034173.1)
Source: RNAcentral
AGAAGUCGGAGAGUGGAAAUUGGUCGCAGUUUUCCAACUUGAUUUCCCGCGGGGAUUGAGGAGAGAUUGAAUGGGAAUGUGAGCCUUUCACUGACUUCUCACAAGAACAAGAACAUGAGGAAGCUGAGUGGCAAUGAAAACCAACAGUUCAAUCUAUCACAGUUUUGGCUCUUCAUGGCUGAAGGAAAAACUGAAGAAAGCAGAGCAUUUCAACCCGUAUUAGGAAGCUUCCUCAAUGCUAGGUCCAGCCUAGCAGAAAGUUUGAAAUUUUCUAUAAGGCCAUCUGGGGAGAGAAGGCUAGUUGUACUCCCCUCACCCCUAAUUUGUGGUAUGCUCAUGUUAUUUAUAUUAUUUAUAGAAUUUUUUAGAAAUUUAAUAACAUCUCUCAAGAAAUCUGGUAGUUUAUAGCAUGUCUCUGCAUUCUUCAGUUUGUAUGCAGAUUUCAAGAACCCAUUUUGUAAAAUAAGUGACAAAGUGGAGAGCUUGUUCUCCUGACAUAAAAUGAGCAGGGAGUGUCAUUCAACUUUGAUUAGUUAAGCAUUAAAAAAUGUAUUAAUCUCAUGCAUGAAAAAGAUAAGAAUAUUUUUAGCUUUUUUCAUUACUUUAAAA